UCUGGUUGAUCCUGCCAGUAGCCAUAUGCUUGUCUCAAAGAUUAAGCCAUGCAUGUCUAAGUCCAAGCUGUGUUUACACGGCGAGACCGCGGACGGCUCAUUAAAUCAGUCGUGGUCCAAAUGGGCCAGUUAUUUCUUACUUGGAUAACUGUGGUAAUUCCAGAGCUAAUACAUGCAACUGAUACCCUGAAGAGAGUUCUCCUUCGCCUGCGCUUGUCGCAUGUGCGUUGCGUGAAUCCUCUCUGAAGGGCGCUUUUAUUAGACCAAACCGCUGAGGGUGGUGGGGUUGGUGCUUUACCGCGCUAGCUCCGCUGCUUGACUCGCAUUAUGGUGACUCUGGAUAACCAGCUUUGACAAGCGCACGUACCCCUCUUCGAGCGGGACGGCGCUGCCACUUUCGAGUGUCUGCCUUAUCAGCUGUCAACCGCUCGCUACACGCGACCGAUGGCUUUGACGGGUAACGGGGAAUCAGGGUUCGAUUCCGGAGAGGCAGCCUGAGAGACGGCUACCACGUCCAAGGACGGCAGCAGGCACGCAAAUUACCCAAUCCCAGCUCCUGGGGGAGGUAGUGACGAAAUCUAACGAUGCGGGCGCCCUUUUCGGGCCCCGCAAUCGGAAUGAGCGCUUUCUAAACAACCCGUUGAGAACCUACUGAAGGGCAAGUCUGGUGCCAGCAGCCGCGGUAAUUCCAGCUUCAGUAGCAUCUGUUAAAGUUGCUGCGGUUAAAAGGCUCGCAGUUGAAUGUCAGUGCCGGGCGUUGGAUCGGUGGACGAUGGAGCGUGGGAUCAAGUUUGCGCGCACGUCUGCUCUCUCUUGUGGGGGGCGCGUGUCGCAGGCUCUCACAAGCUCCCGUCCGUAACAAGCCUCCGCGCCUGCGUACAUAGUGAUGCUUAGUGAUGCUUAUUACUGCUGUGGACUUGCGGACUGGGUGCUGCAGCAUGUGCUUGGCUUUGUCGCCGGGCACCUCUGCUGUGCUCUCCAGGCCGUGUUCACGCAUGAGUUUCAGUGUCACCGUGAGUAAAUCAGAGUGCUCAAAGCAGUCGUAACGGGCCUUGUGCUCUGUGAACAGUCUUGACAGACUGACUUGGUUUUGCAUGGUAUGUCGGAAGACGACGUCGGGUGCUGGCUAAGAGUGAUGGGACGCGUCUGCGCGCGCUUUGCGUGUUUGUGGGCGCCCCGGAAUAUCAGUGGUAUAAGCCAGCCUCGACGUACUGAUUAAAAGGGCUUGUCGAGGGCAUUGGUAUUGCGGAGCGAGAGGUGAAAUUCUAUGACCUCCGCAAGACCGCCUGAAGCGAAAGCGUCUGCCAAGGAUGUUUUCAUUAAUCAUGAACGAAAGUUAGAGGAUCGAAGGCGAUCAGAUACCGCCCUAGUUCUAACCCUAAACGAUGCCAACCAUCAAUCCGCGCGUAGCACCCUUUUUGACGGGCUCGGCGGGCAGCUCCUUUUUCACGGGAAACCAGAGUCUUUGGGUUCCGGGGGGAGUCUGGUUGCAAAGCUGAAACUUAAAGGAAUUGACGGAAAGGCACCACCAGGCGUGGAGCCUGCGGCUUAAUUUGACUCAACACGGGCCAUCUCACCAGGCCAGCACUCUAGCAUGAUUGACAGAUUGAGAGCUCUUUCUCGAUUCAGUGGAUGGUGGUGCAUGGCCGUUCUUAGUUGGUGGAGUGAUCUGUCUGGUUAAUUCCGAUAACGAACGAGACUCUCCCCUGCUAACUAGUCGGUUGGAUCUUGCUCGGUGAGUCGUGUCCCGUUGUGCUCGACGGCUGUGGUUUUCGCGGUGCUUGGCGGGCGCGUCUGGCGUGGGCAUUAACGUGCUCGUGCCGGCGUGUUCCUCGCUUCAGCCCGUGAGGCUCUCCGUUGGAGGCUUCGGAUCUCACACUCCAAGUCCGCCGUUUAUGAUAAAUUUCUUCUUAGAGGGAUCCACGGCUCUGAAGCCGUCAGAGACUGAGAGCAAUAACAGGUCUGUGAUGCCCUUAGAUGCUCUGGGCCGCACGCGCGCUACAAUGCCGAGCACAGCAGGUUCUUUUCCUGCUCCGAGAGGAGCGGGCAACCCUCUGAAAGCUCUCACUCACUUCUUGCUCGCACUGCGUUUUGCCUCGGCAGGCGCAGACCAGCGGGCGAGAAUGGCGUGCUUGGGCCUGGGGCUUGCAAUUUUUCCCCACAAACGAGGAAUGCCUAGUAGCGGCGAGUCACUGAGCUCGCUGUGACUCAGUCCCUGCCCUUUGUACACACCGCCCGUCGCUACUACCGAUUGGGUGUACCAGUGAGAGCCUUGGACUGGCUGCCGUUGCCCCUUCCGGGGCAAGCGGAUUAGACGGAAAGAGGUACGAACUGGUGCACUUAGAGGAAGUAAAAGUCGUAACAAGGUUUCCGUAGGUGAACCUGCGGAAGGUCAUUA
This 2398-nucleotide ribosomal RNA is filed under the name Bubocorophium sp. AI-2007-6. RNAcentral's name for it is "small subunit ribosomal RNA". It matches the Rfam family "Eukaryotic small subunit ribosomal RNA". Lineage: Eukaryota; Metazoa; Arthropoda; Malacostraca; Amphipoda; Corophiidae. The record is from RNAcentral.